UACGUAGGGGGCUAGCGUUGUCCGGAAUCAUUGGGCGUAAAGAGCGUGUAGGCGGCUCGGUAAGUCCGCUCUGAAAGCCCGGGGCUCAACCCCGGGAGGCGGGCGGAUACUGUCGAGCUAGAGUCCGGAAGAGGCGAGUGGAAUUCCUGGUGUAGCGGUGAAAUGCGCAGAUAUCAGGAGGAACACCGAUAGCGAAGGCAGCUCGCUGGGACGGUACUGACGCUGAGGUGCGAAAGCGUGGGGAGCAAACAGG
RNAcentral lists this ribosomal RNA (253 nucleotides) under uncultured bacterium. RNAcentral describes it as "partial 16S ribosomal RNA". It matches the Rfam family "Bacterial small subunit ribosomal RNA", at positions 524 to 776 of the family's 1533-position model. The record is from RNAcentral.